CAGUAGCCGCGGUAAUACAGAGGGUGCUAGCGUUAAUCGGAUUUACUGGGCGUAAAGCGUGCGUAGGCGGCUUUUUAAGUCGGAUGUGAAAUCCCUGAGCUUAACUUAGGAAUUGCAUUCGAUACUGGGAAGCUAGAGUAUGGGAGAGGAUGGUAGAAUUCCAGGUGUAGCGGUGAAAUGCGUAGAGAUCUGGAGGAAUACCGAUGGCGAAGGCAGCCAUCUGGCCUAAUACUAACGCUGAGGUACGAAAGCAUGGGGAGCAAACAGGAUUAGAUACCCCUGUAGUCCCUGUCUCUUAUAC
This 301-nucleotide ribosomal RNA is filed under the name uncultured bacterium. RNAcentral's name for it is "partial 16S ribosomal RNA". It matches the Rfam family "Bacterial small subunit ribosomal RNA", at positions 509 to 807 of the family's 1533-position model. The record is from RNAcentral.